UAUCCAUGAUGUGGACAUUGAUUUAUCAAAUCUCUAAACCUGCCCCAGACCUAAUGGAAAGUUUCAUGGUCUUUUUGGAUGAAGGUAGAGAUUUGCCUCUUAAAGAUU
Small nucleolar RNA from Humulus lupulus (European hop), 108 nucleotides. Lineage: Eukaryota; Viridiplantae; Streptophyta; Magnoliopsida; Rosales; Cannabaceae. The record is from RefSeq and is a predicted model, not a curated record.